CUUGUCCCCCAUCUCCAGGAGAAGAUGGCUGCCCUUAUCGCUGAAAACUUCCGCUUCCUCUCCUUGUUCUUCAAGAGCAAAGAUGUGAUGAUCUUUAAUGGCCUGGUGGCCCUGGGUACAGUGUGCAGUGAAGAGCUCUUCUCAGUUGUUGCCUUCCACUGCCCCUGCUCCCCAGCCCGCAACUACAUCUACGGGCUGGCUGCCAUCGGUGUCCCAGCCCUGGCACUCUUCCUCAUCGGCGUCAUCUUGAACAACCACACCUGGAACGUAGUGGCUGAGUGCCACAAGCGUGGCACCAAGAACUUCUCCUCUGCCGCCACCUUCCUCCUCUUUGGUUCCAUCAUGGGCCGGGCGGCCGUGGCACCUAUCACCUGGUCAGUCAUCUCCUUGCUGCGUGGGGAGGCUUACAUCUGUGCCCUCAGCGAGUUUGUCAGGCCGUCCUCCCUGGACAAGUUCCCAUCUGAGUUCGGAGCUGAGGUGCUGGCGAGAUUCCCCUGCAAAGAUGUGCCGGCAAACCUCACCAAGUUCAGGGACGAGGUGACACGGAGGCUGAGAUAUGAGUCCCAGCUCUUUGGCUGGCUGCUCAUCGGGAUCGUUGCUGUCCUGGUCUUCCUCACCAAGUGCCUGAAGCACUGCUGCUCACCACUGAGCUACCGGCAGGAGGCCUACUGGGCCCAGUACCGCUGCAAUGAGGACAAGCUUUUCCGCCGCACCGCUGAAGUCCACUCCAGGAUCCUAGCAGCAAAUAAUGUGAAGCAGUUCUUUGGAUUUGUGGCGCUUGACAAGGAGGAGAAGGAGCUGGUGCAGGAGUUCCCAGUGGAGGGUGUCCAGCCCAGCCCCCAGUGGAAUGCCAUUACGGGUGUCUACAUCUACCGGGAGAACAAGGGCUUCCCCCUCUACAGCCGGCUCCACAAAUGGGCAAAAGGGGUGGAAGGGAACGGGCCAACCCCAGAGGGCCAUGAAAUGCUCUUCUUGGCUUCCUAAGACAGAUAAGCACUGGGAACAGUUCCCCAGACUGCCUUGCAGACCUAUCAGUAUUGGUGUGUAGCUCAUGGAUUUGCUGAGAAUAUUCCUGCCAGCAGGAUUACUACUCCCAGCAGGUAAAAAGGAAUCAGCAGCCUCAAGGUAGAGGCUGAUAAGCAACGCACUGAGCUGGAGAACCCCUCCCUUGGAGACAACCAUCUUGCUGGUGCUCCCAGAGGGUAAGGGGAGCAGAGCAGAUGCACACCUUACCUCCAGGCUGCUGGUGAGCCCUGCUGUCCUAAGCACCAGCAAAAUCCUCAGGGAGCAAGAGCUGGGAACAUUUCUAACUCUGACUCCUGCAGUCCCACCUGUCUUCCCUGUGGCAGGGUUAGUCCCAGCCAUCCUACGCACCCACCUUUUUUAUCGACACCAGCAUUUUCUUAUGCAGUUCUGCAGUGCCUGUUACAUGGACAGGUCCGGAGCACUUUACAGACUUCACAGGGAAAGAGGGAAGCAGUGAGUAUGUUCCUGUAGCAGCAAAGGUCAGUAAUACAGCAGCAGGCCAAAUAACUGAGAGACUAAGGCAGGAGGAAUCACCAAUAUUGUAGGUAUUCAGAAAGACAGUCUGUAAUUACCAAGUUGAAAUUUGGGUAGGACACUAAACUCCCUUUGUUCUUACUGAAGCGUCUGGCAACCUCUAAUGAGCCCAAAUGGUCGCAGCCAUGAGAAUAUAACCCUGGAAGGUGACACCAUCCGCAGAAUAGCUUUCAGGCAAGCUAGCUUGGUGGAGGCUCAAAGGGAGCACAGCACCCACAGUGAACCACAGCACCAUGUGCAGCUCAUCACAUUGCUCAUCCACCAUUGGGUGAGAAUCCUGCUUGUUUGGGUUGACAAGCUGGAGCAAAACCCCAGCCAGAAUUAUAUACAUAUCAUUAUGUUAUAUAUACACACACACACAAUAUAUAUAUAUAUAAUUAUACUUUUCUGUACUAAUGGAGCAUCUUUCCAGGGAAAGAGGGCGAGAAACUUGCCAGCCAAAAGACCACGUUACAUGCACUCACCUGCUCUAUUACUACUGCAGCCCUGCAGUGACAAGAGACUGUGGGAAUGGGAUGAGGCCCUCAGGGUGAACACACAUACGCACUUGCCACCCCCGCAUGCAAGUCAGCAGAUGCAAGGUAACGUGCUGAAACAGUAGCAUGAGCAUAUUCCUCUUACUUCCCUUCAUGACAGUCCUCAUUCCUUUGAACCACCUCCACUUUCUUCUCCUGCUCUCCCCUCCUUUUGAAGGAGAGGGGCAAGAUAAAAUGCUUGCAAAAGGAUUUGUUUAUCGUAAGAAUACAGCAUGUGUACAACCCAGCCUUUGCUUUGUUAGGUUCUCUCUUCUCCAUUAACUCCAGCUGCUUUCCAUGUGUUGGAACGGGCCAGAGACUUGUGAAGCUUGUCCAUUUUCCCACCAUCUUCCUGGAGAGGCAGCUGACGGCAAGGAACAGAGCAAGGCACUGCUGUUAAAAAUACUGCACUGAAGUCAUUCUCUACUAUGUAGCAAAUUCCAAACAAUGCAAUUGUAAGGACUUUUUUUUUCUUUUUUUUUCCUCCCUUCUUCCACAGCCCUGAGCAUGAUCCCUAAUAACACAGCUGUGGGCUUCUGGCCCUCGCAGCCCAUCAGCACCCUUGUGAAUCACAGAAUCAUUUUGAAGAGUUGGAUGUGGCCUUUAAUUGCCACCUAGUCCAACCCCCCUGCAAUGAAUAGGGACAUCUAUAACCCUGCCAAGGCAGUCGCUCAUCCUUUCCCACUGAAGGUGAGGUGAAGUCAGCACAAGGAAGAAAGUAGCAAAGGAGGAAAGGAGUCAGAGUGAGAGCUACCAAUGUGUGGGAAAUGCUGGGAGCAAGAGACAAGGAAAAGUGUGUGUGUGUGGGGGGGGAAGAAGCAGACUUGAUUAAUUUCUGUAAAAAUACUCAAAGUAGGACAUUUGCCACAUAGCUUUUUAACUCAGUGCAAACAAGCAAAACACCAAAAGGGAAGCCGAGGCGUUUGUCUUCCUGGCGUGCUGGAUCACGCAGGCUGAGCUCACGCGUUCUAUGCUCCUCCUGCAGAUGCUGAAAGCAAUGCCGUCACAGAGCAGCCUACAGGCUGUCAGUUAGGGCAUGCUUCCUAGCAGCAAGCCAGGCUUUAACCAGGCUCCAGUACACAGAAUUACACGCAGCUCUUUCAUUUUCCCUGCUGAGUACUGUAGAGACUACAAUAGCCCCUGUAAUCAUAAAGAAAUAAUACCUCACAGGGAUCUUGGUUUCAGUUCAGACACUUAUUUACAUAUUGUAUUAUGUAACUAAUUCAUUCAGGGAAAAAAAAUAAAAGGAAAGCCACCAUCACUGCGGUUGUGCUGUUUAAAAAAGGAAAAGCAGCAGCUGCUACUGGAUGUUGCAAGGAGCCUCCUUCUCUAGAAGAGCAUUAAGCAUGAAUAUAUGUACAGCACCCUGCUGCCCCUGAGGAUAAGCAGUAAAAUAAUUUGUUUUUAGAUCCCAUUGGAUUUGGGAAUUAACUGUAUGCUUAAUCACUCAGCCUUGCCAACAGUGGGCAUUCAGAGAGGCAAAAGGGUUAAGUCCUACAGAACUCUGGUUUCAAGUUCAGAGCACAUACAAUGAGUAAGUUUAUUCAAGUUUAGUGUUUCAAAUUUGGGCAUCCACUAGUGCUAGUGUCUGCACUGGAUAACCACCUCUUUGCAUCCCCUGCUUUUUCCCUCACUGUCAGUUCUCUGUCUAUAAAAACCAUCACAACAUCCAAAUCUUACUGGAGAGAUACAAGACCAAGGACAAGACACCAACACCAGCGAUGGCAUAUCAAAGAUAGUUGGCAUUUUCUAUGCAGAAGGUUAGCUGGGGAUUAUUUUUUUUCCAGCACAGAAAAAACACGGUCUUCGACUUCAAACAUUUCUCUUAAAAGAUGCCAACUACAGACUUUUUCUGUCAUCAGUCACCAGCGAUCCUUUAUGAGAUGGCAGUAAUCAUGGGAUCCAGUGUCACUGGACAAUGUAUGCUCUAAAAGUACAUGCCUCUUCAGCUAAAAAGGCCAAGAAUAUUCUGGGGGUACAUUAGGAAAGACAAUAUCUGAAGGCCAAAGAAGGUAAUUCUUCCCCUCUGCUCUGCAGAGGUGAGUCAUCUGGGGUGAUGUGUCCAGUGCUGGGUUCCCCUGUACAGAGAUACUGUCACUGGACUUACCGCAGUGAAUACUGCAAAUGAACAGGAAGAUGACAACAGGACUGGAGCAUCCAUCAGACAAAGAGAGGCCGAGAUAGCUGGAGCUGUUCAGUCUGAAGAAGAAAAGGCUCAAGCCAGAUCAUAUCCAUGUGUAUAAAUAAUUGUCGGGGGGGGGGGGU
RNA transcript from Numida meleagris (helmeted guineafowl), 4340 nucleotides. It is a transcript of the gene named calcium homeostasis modulator 2, with no coding region annotated. Lineage: Eukaryota; Metazoa; Chordata; Aves; Galliformes; Numididae. The transcript has 3 exons. The record is from RefSeq and is a predicted model, not a curated record.